RNAcentral lists this ribosomal RNA (385 nucleotides) under uncultured bacterium. RNAcentral describes it as "bacterial SSU rRNA". It matches the Rfam family "Bacterial small subunit ribosomal RNA", at positions 30 to 416 of the family's 1533-position model. The record is from RNAcentral.
AUUGAACGCUGGCGGCAUGCCUUACACAUGCAAGUCGAACGGCAGCACGGGAGCAAUCCUGGUGGCGAGUGGCGAACGGGUGAGUAAUAUAUCGGAACGUGCCCAGUCGUGGGGAUAACGUAGCGAAAGCUACGCUAAUACCGCAUACGAUCUAUGGAUGAAAGCGGGGGAUCGCAAGACCUCGCGCGAUUGGAGCGGCCGAUAUCAGAUUAGGUAGUUGGUGAGGUAAAGGCUCACCAAGCCGACGAUCUGUAGCUGGUCUGAGAGGACGACUAGCCACACUGGGACUGAGACACGGCCCAGACUCCUACGGGAGGCAGCAGUGGGGAAUUUUGGACAAUGGGCGCAAGCCUGAUCCAGCAAUGCCGCGUGCAGGAUGAAGGCC